GCCCGGUUAGCUUAGUCGGUAGAGCGUGAGACUGUAGGUUCUUCCUGACUUCUCCAUCAAGUUAGACAACGUUCAACUAACAUCACUCCCCCAGUUUAAUCUCAAGGUCGCGAGUUCGAGCCUCGCAUUGGGCG
Molecule: non-coding RNA, 134 nt
Organism: Aspergillus hancockii
Lineage: Eukaryota; Fungi; Ascomycota; Eurotiomycetes; Eurotiales; Aspergillaceae
Source: the annotation of a GenBank genome assembly